RNAcentral lists this ribosomal RNA (484 nucleotides) under uncultured bacterium. Its description in RNAcentral is "partial 16S ribosomal RNA". It matches the Rfam family "Bacterial small subunit ribosomal RNA", at positions 28 to 523 of the family's 1533-position model. The record is from RNAcentral.
GACGAACGCUGGCGGCGUGCUUAACACAUGCAAGUCGAACGAUGAACCCGGAGCUUGCUCCGGCGGAUUAGUGGCGAACGGGUGAGUAACACGUGAGUAACCUGCCCUUGACUCUGGGAUAACUGCUAGAAAUGGUAGCUAAUACCGGAUACGACCCUCGGUGGCAUCACCAGGGGGUGGAAAGAAUUUCGGUCAAGGAUGGACUCGCGGCCUAUCAGCUAGUUGGUGAGGUAACGGCUCACCAAGGCGACGACGGGUAGCCGGCCUGAGAGGGUGACCGGCCACACUGGGACUGAGACACGGCCCAGACUCCUACGGGAGGCAGCAGUGGGGAAUAUUGCACAAUGGGCGCAAGCCUGGUGCAGCAACGCCGUGUGAGGGAUGACGGCCUUCGGGUUGUAAACCUCUUUUAGUAGGGAAGAAGCGAAAGUGACGGUACCUGCAGAAAAAGCACCGGCUAACUACGUGCCAGCCGCCGCCGUAA